This is a long non-coding RNA of Coregonus clupeaformis (lake whitefish), 1107 nucleotides long. RefSeq lists it as uncharacterized. The transcript has 3 exons. NCBI's taxonomy places the organism in Eukaryota, Metazoa, Chordata, Actinopteri, Salmoniformes, Salmonidae. The record is from RefSeq and is a predicted model, not a curated record.
CUGGCAACCCUGAUUCUUCCUCCAAACAUUUCGCUAGCGCUAUCGACCAUCACGUCCAUUCUACCUUUGUUUGAGCAAGCAUCCCAAACAAAAAGCCGACUCAACAUGGCUUACACCGUUGCAGGUGGCACCAAGAAGAAAGUCUGCUACUACUAUGACGGUGAUAUCGGAAAUUAUUAUUGACAAGGGCAUCCAAUGAAACCACACCGACUUCGCAUGACCCACAACCUGCUGUUGAAUUAUGGGCUGUACAGAAAAAUUGAAAUAUAUAGACCACACAAAGCCACUACAGAGGAAAUGACCAAAUAUCACAGUGAUGAUUACAUCAAGUUCCUCAAAUCCAUCCGACCAGACAACAUGUCAGAGUACAGCAAGCAAAUGCAGUGGUGUACGAUGUUGGCUCCAUAGCUAGGGCCAGGAGUUGUAAUGAACCUUAAGACUGAACAGGGGACAACUAGUGUUAACACUAGCCUAGUGUUAAAAAUACAUAUGAAUUAAGUUUUUCUUCAUAUUGGAUAACAUGAAAAAUGUUUUAUUUUCCCCUCUAAGUCAAUGUUGGGGAGGAUUGUCCUGUGUUUGAUGGGUUAUUUGAGUUCUGCCAGCGAUCCACUGGUGGCUCUGCUGGUACGUGCGUACACACAAUAGCUUUUAUUUAUCCGGCAUUAUGUUGUAAUGUCCAGGGAAACUGAAGAUCAUUCUAUUGAUGCUAAAUAUGAAUUUGAGUGAUAAUUUAAACUCCACCCAGUUAGCAAAUGAACACAUCAUAUGCCCACGGGUACACAUCUGUUGAUCAGUAUGAGCAACAUUUACAGUUGAGUCUUUUAGGAGAUGCUCUUGUCCAGAGCAACUUACAGUUAGUGCAUUCAUCUUAAGACGGCUGGGUGGGACAACCAAAUCUCAGUCAUAGUAAGUACUUUUUCCUCAAUAAAGUAGCUAUCAGCAAAGUCAGUGCUAGUAGGGGGGGAAAGAGCGAGUGUUAGUUCACGAAGGGGUGGGGGGGUGCUGUGGGAUUCUUAAAGAUACUCUUUGAAUAGGUAGGGUUUCUGAUGUUUUUGGAAGAUGGGUAGGGACUCUGCUGUCCUAGCUUCAGGGGGAAGCUGUUUCCAC